CAAGCCAUCACAUCCCCUGUGACUUGCACGUAUACGCCCAGAUGGCCUGAAGUAACUGAAGAAUCACAAAAGAAGUGAAUAUGCCCUGCCCCACCUUAACUGAUGACAUUCCACCACAAAAGUGUAAAUAGCCGGUCCUUGCCUUAAGUGACGACAUUACCUUGUGAAAGUCCUUUUCCUGGCUCAUCCUGGCUCAGAAAGCACCCCCACUGAGCACCUUGCGACCCCCACUCCUGCCCGCUCAAAAAACACCCCCACUGAGCACCUUGGGACCCCCACUCCUGCCCGCCAAAGAACAAACCCCCUUUGACUGUAAUUUUCCUUUACCUACCCAAAUCCUAUAAAACAGCCCCACCCCUAUCUCCCUUCGCUGACUCUCUUUUUGGACUCAGCCUGCCUGCACCCAGGUGAAAUAAACAGCCAUGUUGCUCACACAAAGCCUGUUUGGUGGUCUCUUCACAUG
This 463-nucleotide long non-coding RNA is filed under the name Homo sapiens (human). Its description in RNAcentral is "HSALNT0374526". Lineage: Eukaryota; Metazoa; Chordata; Mammalia; Primates; Hominidae. The record is from RNAcentral.